This 254-nucleotide ribosomal RNA is filed under the name uncultured bacterium. RNAcentral describes it as "partial 16S ribosomal RNA". It matches the Rfam family "Bacterial small subunit ribosomal RNA", at positions 524 to 776 of the family's 1533-position model. The record is from RNAcentral.
GACAGAGGUCUCGAGCGUUAGGCGGAAUCACUGGGCUUAAAGCGUGUGUAGGUGGAUGUCUAAGUACCUUGUGGAAUCCCACGGCUUAACCGUGGAAUUGCUUGGUAUACUGGAUGUCUUGAGCCAGCUAGGGGCAACCGGAACAAAUGGUGGAGCGGUGAAAUGCGUGAGAUAUCAUUUGGAACGCCAAUGGUGAAAACAGGUUGCUGGGGCUGUGCUGACACUGAGACACGAAAGCCAGGGGAGCAAACGGG